RNAcentral lists this microRNA (21 nucleotides) under Xenopus laevis (African clawed frog). Its description in RNAcentral is "xla-miR-99-3p". Its record names the gene xla-miR-99-3p. Lineage: Eukaryota; Metazoa; Chordata; Amphibia; Anura; Pipidae. The record is from miRBase by way of RNAcentral.
AAGCUCGUUUCUAUGGGUCUG